CCAGAGACUUCCACGGCUUUCAUAUGCUCGUUGAGACCCAGAAAAGCCGAGACCUCCACGGCUUCUAUUCGUUGGUUCCGUCGGAGCAGUACCGGAUGGGAAAGCAGCAAGGGCGACGCCUUCACCUACCCGUGCAUGUUCAGCCGCGGCCAACCAUUGGCUUUCCUCUUGGACAGCCAAUUGGAAGAUCCGGCCAAGCGACGGUACAGGGUCCAUGGCGAGGAUUUGCGAGCGGAAAGGUGAGUAACUUUCGUUGAGUAUCAGCAAAAAUCAAGUCGUCUUCUCUCUGUCCUUUAUGGCCCGGUACUGUCGGAGCGUUUCUUCUGGUCCUUCGAGUUGCUCUUCGGCCGCCUCGAGCUCAUUCCACAGAGCCGAGAGUCGAUUGAAGCAAGCGGUAACCGACGAGUUCCCUUGCUUCAAUUCCGACAGAGCCUGUGUGAGUGAGAAAAUCUUGGUUCGGUCAAGUUUUCCAUACAUUUCUCGGAUAUUAUCCCAAAUCGUCUUCGAGUCUUUAGUCGGUGGUAGUCCGACUGCAACGUCGGGGGUCAAACAAUUUCCGAUCCAUGUGCGGACGAGCUGGUUGCAUUUGCGCCAAUGACGUUGUAAUCGAUCGUCGGACGGGAAGGCCGGUGAUGUAUAGAGCGGGUCACCAGGCUCCGGGCGGCCGCCGCUAGUCGGAACAACAUAGGGCAUGAAACCGGGUCCCAAUACCGGGUAGGGAUUUCCCCCUGGACCUGGACCCAAACCCGGCGUCGGCCCACUUUCAUUGGGCUGAGCUCCGGGAUUUGGAGCUCCCGGUGACGUGUAUUGGGCCCAUGAUUGAUUUGGCCCGAUGGCCCAUGGGCCUUGCACUGGAAACCAUUGGACUGGUGGCCAUUGGACGGGGCCGGGAAUCUGAGCAGCAGAAGUGAUAGCAGGAUCCGAGUCAGGCGCAGCAGAAGUAGGAACGGCAAAAGAUCGUUCCUCUUCAAUUAAAUCAAUUUGAUCCGAGGUUUGAUUUUGAGGACUAAACUUGCAACAGCAAAUCAGAAAAAAACGGAGGCAAUUUGAAGGACUUUUCUGCGGAAGCUAGGUCAAGAAAGACCGCUCUGAUACCAUGACAGAAAACAAAGAAAAUGGAGGAAAUUUUGUAUUGUAUUGAUCUGAAAAGAUUACAUGUACAUUGGUCUA
Long non-coding RNA from Syzygium oleosum, 1170 nucleotides. RefSeq lists it as uncharacterized. Lineage: Eukaryota; Viridiplantae; Streptophyta; Magnoliopsida; Myrtales; Myrtaceae. The record is from RefSeq and is a predicted model, not a curated record. The transcript has 3 exons.